RNAcentral lists this ribosomal RNA (411 nucleotides) under Triticum aestivum (bread wheat). RNAcentral describes it as "partial small subunit ribosomal RNA". The record is from RNAcentral. Lineage: Eukaryota; Viridiplantae; Streptophyta; Magnoliopsida; Poales; Poaceae.
GUUCAGAGUUGUACUAAUUACCGUGGAAUUAAGCUGAUGAGCCAUACAAUGAAGCUAUGGGAGAGAGUCAUUGAGCACCGCUUAAGAAGAAUGACAAGCGUGACCAAAAGUCAGUUUGGUUUCAUGCCUGGGAGGUCGACCAUGGAAGCCAUUUUCUUGGUACGACAAAUUAUGGAGAGAUAUAGGGAGCAAAAGAAGGACUUGCAUAUGGUGUUCAUUGACUUGGAGAAGGCCUAUGAUAAGAUACCGCGGAAUGUCAUGUGGUGGGCCUUGGAGAAACACAAAGUCCCAGCAAAGUACAUUACCCUCAUCAAGGACAUGUACGAUAAUGUUGUGACAAGUGUUCGAACAAGUGAUGUCGACACCGAUGACUUCCCGAUUAAGAUAGGACUGCAUCAGGGGUCAGCUUUG